AGACAGUUCGGUCCCUAUCUGUUGCAGGCGUUAGAAGUUUGAGAGGACCUCCUUUUAGUACGAGAGGACCGAAGGGGACGAACCUCUGGUUUACCUGUUGUGGCGCCAGCUGCAUCGCAGGGUAGCUACGUUCGGAUGAGAUAAGCGCUGAAAGCAUCUAAGCGCGAAACUCGCCUCAAGAUGAGACUUCUUUUAAGGGUCGUUAGAGAUGAUGACGUUGAUAGGUUGCAGGUGUAUAGGUAGAGAUAUCAUAGCCGAGCAAUACUAAUUACCCGUAGAU
RNAcentral lists this ribosomal RNA (280 nucleotides) under Symbiodinium sp. clade D. Its description in RNAcentral is "partial Bacterial large subunit ribosomal RNA". It matches the Rfam family "Bacterial large subunit ribosomal RNA", at positions 2624 to 2925 of the family's 2925-position model. The record is from RNAcentral. Lineage: Eukaryota; Dinophyceae; Suessiales; Symbiodiniaceae.